Molecule: ribosomal RNA, 766 nt
Filed under: Salmonella enterica subsp. enterica serovar Anatum
Lineage: Bacteria; Pseudomonadati; Pseudomonadota; Gammaproteobacteria; Enterobacterales; Enterobacteriaceae
Description: partial 23S ribosomal RNA
Rfam family: Bacterial large subunit ribosomal RNA
Source: RNAcentral
AGACCCGAAACCCGGUGAUCUAGCCAUGGGCAGGUUGAAGGUUGGGUAACACUAACUGGAGGACCGAACCGACUAAUGUUGAAAAAUUAGCGGAUGACCUGUGGCUGGGGGUGAAAGGCCAAUCAAACCGGGAGAUAGCUGGUUCUCCCCGAAAGCUAUUUAGGUAGCGCCUCGUGAAUUCAUCUCCGGGGGUAGAGCACUGUUUCGGCUAGGGGGCCAUCCCGGCUUACCAACCCGAUGCAAACUGCGAAUACCGGAGAAUGUUAUCACGGGAGACACACGGCGGGUGCUAACGUCCGUCGUGAAGAGGGAAACAACCCAGACCGCCAGCUAAGGUCCCAAAGUCAUGGUUAAGUGGGAAACGAUGUGGGAAGGCCCAGACAGCCAGGAUGUUGGCUUAGAAGCAGCCAUCAUUUAAAGAAAGCGUAAUAGCUCACUGGUCGAGUCGGCCUGCGCGGAAGAUGUAACGGGGCUAAACCAUGCACCGAAGCUGCGGCAGCGAACGUAUCACUUAAAGCGAUUCAGCGGGUUACGAUUGACGGAGCGAAGCGACGUCAAAGCGUAUACAAAGUCGAGUCGGUUUAAGGAUACGUUCGUUGGGUAGGGGAGCGUUCUGUAAGCCUGUGAAGGUGGCCUGUGAGGGUUGCUGGAGGUAUCAGAAGUGCGAAUGCUGACAUAAGUAACGAUAAAGCGGGUGAAAAGCCCGCUCGCCGGAAGACCAAGGGUUCCUGUCCAACGUUAAUCGGGGCAGGGUGAGUCGACCCCU